GGGUUGUGAGGUUAAGCGACUAAGCGUACACGGUGGAUGCCCUGGCAGUCAGAGGCGAUGAAGGACGUGCUAAUCUGCGAUAAGCGCCGGUAAGGUGAUAUGAACCGUUAUAACCGGCGAUUUCCGAAUGGGGAAACCCAGUGUGAUUCGUCACACUAUCAUUAACUGAAUCCAUAGGUUAAUGAGGCGAACCGGGGGAACUGAAACAUCUAAGUACCCCGAGGAAAAGAAAUCAACCGAGAUUCCCCCAGUAGCGGCGAGCGAACGGGGAGGAGCCCAGAGCCUGAAUCAGCAUGUGUGUUAGUGGAAGCGUCUGGAAAGGCGCGCGAUACAGGGUGACAGCCCCGUACACAAAAGCGCAUGUGCUGUGAGCUCGAUGAGUAGGGCGGGACACGUGGUAUCCUGUCUGAAUAUGGGGGGACCAUCCUCCAAGGCUAAAUACUCCUGACUGACCGAUAGUGAACCAGUACCGUGAGGGAAAGGCGAAAAGAACCCCGGCGAGGGGAGUGAAAAAGAACCUGAAACCGUGUACGUACAAGCAGUGGGAGCACAGGUUUACCUGUGUGACUGCGUACCUUUUGUAUAAUGGGUCAGCGACUUAUAUUCUGUAGCAAGGUUAACCGUAUAGGGGAGCCGUAGGGAAACCGAGUCUUAACCGGGCGUUAAGUUGCAGGGUAUAGACCCGAAACCCGGUGAUCUAGCCAUGGGCAGGUU
This 714-nucleotide ribosomal RNA is filed under the name Salmonella enterica subsp. enterica serovar Newport. RNAcentral's name for it is "partial 23S ribosomal RNA". It matches the Rfam family "Bacterial large subunit ribosomal RNA", at positions 1 to 746 of the family's 2925-position model. The record is from RNAcentral. Lineage: Bacteria; Pseudomonadati; Pseudomonadota; Gammaproteobacteria; Enterobacterales; Enterobacteriaceae.